GUGUCAGCAGCCGCGGUAAGACGAACCGUGCGAACGUUGUUCGGAAUCACUGGGCUUAAAGGGCGCGUAGGCGGCCUGCAUGGUCGGGGGUGAAAGCCCGCAGCUCAACUGCGGAAGUGCCUCCGAUACCGGCGGGCUCGAGCAAGGUAGGGGUGCGCGGAACUUCUGGUGGAGCGGUGAAAUGCGUUGAUAUCAGAAGGAACGCCGGCGGCGAAAGCGGCGCACUGGACCUUUUCUGACGCUGAGGCGCGAAAGCCAGGGGAGCAAACGGGAUUAGAUACCCGCGUAGUCC
This 292-nucleotide ribosomal RNA is filed under the name uncultured bacterium. Its description in RNAcentral is "partial 16S ribosomal RNA". It matches the Rfam family "Bacterial small subunit ribosomal RNA", at positions 505 to 796 of the family's 1533-position model. The record is from RNAcentral.